Molecule: ribosomal RNA, 603 nt
Filed under: uncultured bacterium
Lineage: Bacteria
Description: bacterial SSU rRNA
Rfam family: Bacterial small subunit ribosomal RNA
Source: RNAcentral
GCAAGAAUGAAACUCAAAGGAAUUGACGGGGGCCCGCACAAGCGGAGGAACAUGUGGUUUAAUUCGAUGAUACGCGAGGAACCUUACCUGGACUUAAAUGUAGCGUGACCGUACUUGAAAGAGUAUUUCUCUUCGGAGCAGGUUACAAGGUGCUGCAUGGCUGUCGUCAGCUCGUGCCGUGAGGUGUCGGGUUAAGUCCCAUAACGAGCGCAACCCCUAUUGUUAGUUGCUAACAGGUCAAGCUGAGGACUCUAGCGAGACUGCCACCGUAAGGUGUGAGGAAGGUGGGGAUGACGUCAAGUCAGCACGGCCCUUACGUCCAGGGCUACACACGUGUUACAAUGGUCGGUACAGAGAGCAGCUACUUGGUGACAAGAUGCGAAUCUUUUAAAGCCGGUCUUAGUUCGGAUCGAAGUCUGCAACUCGACUUCGUGAAGUUGGAUUCGCUAGUAAUCGCAUAUCAGCCAUGAUGCGGUGAAUACGUUCCCGGGCCUUGUACACACCGCCCGUCAAGCCAUGGAAGCUGGGGGUACCUGAAGUCCGUAACCAUUAAGGAUCGGCCUAGGGUAAAACUGGUAACUGGGGCUAAGUCGUAACAAGGUA